GACGAACGCUGGCGGCGUGCUUAACACAUGCAAGUCGAACGGAAAGGCCCUGCUUUUGUGGGGUGCUCGAGUGGCGAACGGGUGAGUAACACGUGAGUAACCUGCCCUUGACUUUGGGAUAACUUCAGGAAACUGGGGCUAAUACCGGAUAGGAGCUCCUGCUGCAUUGUGGGGGUUGGAAAGUUUCGGCGGUUGGGGAUGGACUCGCGGCUUAUCAGCUUGUUGGUGGGGUAGUGGCUUACCAAGGCUUUGACGGGUAGCCGGCCUGAGAGGGUGACCGGCCACAUUGGGACUGAGAUACGGCCCAGACUCCUACGGGAGGCAGCAGUGGGGAAUAUUGCACAAUGGGCGGAAGCCUGAUGCAGCAACGCCGCGUGCGGGAUGACGGCCUUCGGGUUGUAAACCGCUUUCGCCUGUGACGAAGCGUGAGUGACGGUAAUGGGUAAAGAAGCACCGGCUAACUACGUG
This 468-nucleotide ribosomal RNA is filed under the name uncultured bacterium. Its description in RNAcentral is "partial 16S ribosomal RNA". It matches the Rfam family "Bacterial small subunit ribosomal RNA", at positions 28 to 507 of the family's 1533-position model. The record is from RNAcentral.